UACGGAGGGGGCUAGCGUUGUUCGGAAUUACUGGGCGUAAAGCGCACGUAGGCGGCCAUUUAAGUCAGAGGUGAAAGCCCAGGGCUCAACCUUGGAACUGCCUUUGAAACUGGAUGGCUUGAACAUAGGAGAGGCGAGUGGAAUUCCGAGUGUAGAGGUGAAAUUCGUAGAUAUUCGGAAGAACACCAGUGGCGAAGGAGACGCGCUGGACUAUUGGUGACGAUGAGGUGCGAAAGCGUGGGGAGCAAACAGG
This 253-nucleotide ribosomal RNA is filed under the name uncultured bacterium. Its description in RNAcentral is "partial 16S ribosomal RNA". It matches the Rfam family "Bacterial small subunit ribosomal RNA", at positions 524 to 776 of the family's 1533-position model. The record is from RNAcentral.